RNAcentral lists this ribosomal RNA (492 nucleotides) under uncultured bacterium. RNAcentral describes it as "partial 16S ribosomal RNA". It matches the Rfam family "Bacterial small subunit ribosomal RNA", at positions 29 to 507 of the family's 1533-position model. The record is from RNAcentral.
AGUGAACGCUGGCGGUAGGCCUAACACAUGCAAGUCGAACGGCAGCACAGUAAGAGCUUGCUCUUACGGGUGGCGAGUGGCGGACGGGUGAGGAAUACAUCGGAAUCUACUUUUUCGUGGGGGAUAAUGUAGGGAAACUUACGCUAAUACCGCAUACGACCUACGGGUGAAAGCAGGGGAUCUUCGGACCUUGCGCGAUUGAAUGAGCCGAUGUCGGAUUAGCUAGUUGGCGGGGUAAAGGCCCACCAAGGCGACGAUCCGUAGCUGGUCUGAGAGGAGGGUCAGCCACACUGGAACUGAGACACGGUCCAGACUCCUACGGGAGGCGGCAGUGGGGAAUAUUGGACAAUGGGCGCAAGCCUGAUCCAGCCAUACCGCGUGGGUGAAGAAGGCCUUCGGGUUGUAAAGCCCUUUUGUUGGGAAAGAAAAGCAGCAGGUUAAUACCCCGCUGUUCUGACGGUACCCAAAGAAUAAGCACCGGCUAACUUCGUG